CACCAAAUCCCAUAAUCCAACGUAAAUCAUUAAAUUUCUCUUUUCUGAUUCGGUUGACAAAAUAUAGAGGCGGGAUUAUCGGAGUGUGCAGAAAUAAGCACCGAUUUAAUUUUAAGAAAACCACACCAGGAACUGGGAAGUUCAUUUAUCAGAAACUAUUUUUUUUUAAGUUUGGGAUUUCUGUAAAUCCUGAAGAAUGCCGUCGUAGAACUCAGGAACCGUGAGGCAGCCAGAGAGCUCUCCACCAAGCUGCCUGGCACAGCUGUUCGGAGAGUUCGCUUCUGGGCGCUACAGACUGGCGAAACAUGGGGUCUCUGGAGUUCCAGCAAUCCUCCUCGAGCAGCACUUUCUCAGUAGAUAAAACCCCUUUCCUGAAAGGCAUCGUUGUUUCUGAUGUUAAUCUCCUCCUCCUGGCUGGAGGUGCUCAUGCAGAGAUGUAUUUACCUUGGGAGCCAUGGGCACUUGUGAAGUAAUCAGAAGACCACCUAUGGCUCCAAAGAUCAAUAACUGAAAUGCUGCGAAAAAAAAACCUGGCUGCUAUAUGUGAAGUGUAAUUAAAAUUAAAGAAAGGAAAAAUAUAGCCCUGACCCUUUGAAAAUAUUAUACCAAUCAGCAAUAAAGAAGCUUCUUUCUUGUUUAA
Long non-coding RNA from Lepisosteus oculatus (spotted gar), 640 nucleotides. RefSeq lists it as uncharacterized. The record is from RefSeq and is a predicted model, not a curated record. NCBI's taxonomy places the organism in Eukaryota, Metazoa, Chordata, Actinopteri, Semionotiformes, Lepisosteidae.